GCCAAAUUAAAUAAUUCAUUCAAAUAUAUAAGAGAGGGUAAACAAGUGCAAAGCUUCAUUUUUUUAAAAAAAAAAUCUUAUGUUUGCUCAAAAAAGAGAGUUAACUAAGCUAACAGACAAUGAUAAUCUCAAUGUUGAUAUCAAACAUAUUUGCCUGGGAGGGGAGGGUUUCCUGUCAAACAGUAAGUGAACCAAAUGAAUGUUGGAUCAUCUUUCUUGAUCGAUCAAUACGUAGAGACCAUUGUCAAAAAUUGUCACCAUAAUCGAACAGCUCAAGGCCCCGGGGCAUCAAAAGCAGCACAGUUUGAUAAAUGAACUUAUAAAUACUUCAUGGAACCAACGCGACAAAGGAUUCCCAGGAAGAAAAAGGCAUGGUAGAUGAUGCUCGUGAAACCUGACUAUAGGAAACUCUGCAUGUCAAGCUCCAAGAAGGAGCAGACAUCUGGAAUGUCAUACUCCUUGAGGACCUUAGGGUGCACAAUGCCGAAUGUUCCAAUUUGCUUUCCUCCAUAAAUAACGUUAGCCUGUCUUCCCUGAAGAAAUGCAGGCUCCUCUGAUUUUUCUAUGUAGUAGCCUGUACUGUUUCCAGGUGAUACAAAAUUAGUGCCAGUUGCUUCCAUGAUUUUGUCAACUAGACCAUGUAUUAGCUCAAAUCCUGAGUUUGCUCCACAAUACAGAGCAGCAAGGUGGCGACGGUUUACUGCGCCAACAUCUUUUGUAUCAUCUAAGAGGACUAUAUCACCAACUUCAAAAAUCUUUAUAGGCUUUGGAUGGUCCUUAUUAUGGCCCACAGUUCUCAAUAGUCCAGGCAUGAGAGAAGGCCGAACAACCUCAAAUUCAGACGUACGAGAAUCAGCAAUGGUCACAGCAGAAUUAUCCUCUUCACGGUUCAACAUGGAGAAAAUUUCUUUCUUGGAACACAAGAUCCAUGUUAACACCUCAGUAUAACCAGUCAUUGCAAUCUCUGUACGAAUAAGAUCACUGAAUUGACUGAGAGGUAAAGGAUUCAAAGAUGCAGGUUUUCUCUUUGGGAUCUCAUUGUAGCCAUAAGCAAUUGCAACAUCCUCCGCUACAUCACAUGGAUGAAGAACGUCACUUCUUGUGGGAGGAACAGAUACAACAAACUUGACUUCUUUAUCUUCUGAUACAGAUUUCUCUGCACGCAAUUGCAUUUUAUGCAACAAACUAGCCACCUUAUCCUCUGGCAAUUGAACUCCAAUGAUGCCAGUAAUGUAGGACAAAGGCACAUUCAUGUUGUAGAUUGAAAGAUCGGGACAAACAUACGAUCUUCCAUCAGGAUAUGUAACUUUAACUGGUUCAACUUCAAACUUCCGCUCACAGUACACUGAAAACAUAGUUACCAUCGUGUUCAGAACAAUGUUGGCCUUUGUCAAAUCUGUGGCUGUACAUUCUAUAAACACGUUCUUUGUUUUCAGCGAAAUGGCUGAAUGUGCACCAUUAAUGAUGGGGGGUAAAGACAAAACAGUCCUUUUACAAUCAUAUAUAACAGGGUACACGGGUGAAUUCUCGAUUAUGUGUAGAAACUUCUUCAGCUUCAAAUCCGAUUUGUAAAAUUCCAUCAGCUCAUCAGCUCUGAAGUUUUUGGUCUGCUUCAAUGGCACAAAAUUUAUUUCAGCAGGAGGCAAAGCCUCAUACGUGAAAGGUCCUUCAAUUGUAUCUAGGUCAUGGGUACC
Molecule: unclassified non-coding RNA, 1694 nt
Filed under: Hevea brasiliensis (rubber tree)
Lineage: Eukaryota; Viridiplantae; Streptophyta; Magnoliopsida; Malpighiales; Euphorbiaceae
Source: RNAcentral